RNAcentral lists this ribosomal RNA (301 nucleotides) under uncultured bacterium. Its description in RNAcentral is "partial 16S ribosomal RNA". It matches the Rfam family "Bacterial small subunit ribosomal RNA", at positions 509 to 807 of the family's 1533-position model. The record is from RNAcentral.
CAGUCGCCGCGGUAAUACGAAGGGUGCAAGCGUUAAUCGGAAUUACUGGGCGUAAAGCGUGCGUAGGCGGUUUGUUAAGUCUGUUGUGAAAUCCCCGGGCUCAACCUGGGAAUGGCAAUGGAUACUGGCAGGCUAGAGUGUGUCAGAGGAUGGUGGAAUUCCCGGUGUAGCGGUGAAAUGCGUAGAGAUCGGGAGGAACAUCAGUGGCGAAGGCGGCCAUCUGGGACAACACUGACGCUGAGGCACGAAAGCGUGGGGAGCAAACAGGAUUAGAUACCCCGGUAGUCCCUGUCUCUUAUAC